AGACGCUGGCGGCUGCCUAACACAUGCAAGUCGAACGAAGGCUUCGGCCUUAGUGGCGCACGGGUGCGUAACGCGUGGGAAUCUGCCCUCAGGUUCGGAAUAACAGCGAGAAAUUGCCGCUAAUACCGGAUGAUAUCGCGAGAUCAAAGAUUUAUCGCCUGAGGAUGAGCCCGCGUAGGAUUAGCUAGUAGGUGUGGUAAAGGCGCACCAAGGCGACGAUCCUUAGCUGGUCUGAGAGGAUGAUCAGCCACACUGGGACUGAGACACGGCCCAGACUCCUACGGGAGGCAGCAGUGGGGAAUAUUGGACAAUGGGCGAAAGCCUGAUCCAGCAAUGCCGCGUGAGUGAUGAAGGCCUUAGGGUUGUAAAGCUCUUUUACCCGGGAUGAUAAUGACAGUACCGGGAGAAUAAGCUCCGGCUAACUCCGUGCCAGCAGCCGCGGUAAUACGGAGGGAGCUAGCGUUAUUCGGAAUUACUUGGGCGUAAAGCGCACGUAGGCGGCUUUGUAAGUUAGAGGUGAAAGCCUGGAGCUCAACUCCAGAAUUGCCUUUAAGACUGCAUCGCUUGAAUCCAGGAGAGGUGAGUGGAAUCCCCGAGUGUAGAGGUGAAAUUCGUAGAUAUUCGGAAGAACACCAGUGGCGAAGGCGGCUCACUGGACUGGUAUUGACGCUGAGGUGCGAAAGCGUGGGGGCAA
RNAcentral lists this ribosomal RNA (694 nucleotides) under uncultured bacterium. RNAcentral describes it as "bacterial SSU rRNA". It matches the Rfam family "Bacterial small subunit ribosomal RNA", at positions 31 to 771 of the family's 1533-position model. The record is from RNAcentral.